This 251-nucleotide antisense RNA is filed under the name Kutzneria sp. 744. RNAcentral's name for it is "Saccharopolyspora sRNA 350". It matches the Rfam family "Saccharopolyspora sRNA 350", at positions 53 to 304 of the family's 513-position model. Lineage: Bacteria; Bacillati; Actinomycetota; Actinomycetes; Pseudonocardiales; Pseudonocardiaceae. The record is from Rfam by way of RNAcentral.
CGAAGUGGUCGCCGUCGGCCAGCGUGCCCAGCACGGCGUCGUCGCCGUACUUGCCGGUGCCGACCUUCUCGACCCGGCCGUGCACGAUCAGGUACAGCUCGUCGGCGGCGGAGCCGGCCCGCACGAUGGUGUCGCCGGCGGCGAAGUGGCGCUGGGUGAAGCGGCCGGCCAGCGCGGCCAGCACGUCGGCGUCGUCGAAACCGCGCAGCGGGGCCAGUUCGCCGAGUUCGGCGGGAAUCACCCGCACGUCG